AUUGAACGCUGGCGGCAGGCUUAACACAUGCAAGUCGAACGAGCGGCGGACGGGUGAGUAAUGUCUGGGAAACUGCCUGAUGGAGGGGGAUAACUACUGGAAACGGUAGCUAAUACCGCAUACCAUCGGAUGUGCCCAGAUGGGAUUAGCUAGUAGGUGGGGUAAUGGCUCACCUAGGCGACGAUCCCUAGCUGGUCUGAGAGGAUGACCAGCCACACUGGAAGUGAGACACGGUCCAGACUCCUACGGUAUGAAGCAGUGGGGAAUAGUGUACAAUGGGCGAGAGCUGGAUGCAGCCAUGCCGCGUGUAGGAAGAAGGCCUUUGGGUUGUAAAGUACUUUCAGCGGGGAGGCGUUACCCGAAGAAGAAGCACCGGCUAACUCCGUGCCAGCAGCCGCGGUAAUUC
Molecule: ribosomal RNA, 406 nt
Filed under: uncultured bacterium
Lineage: Bacteria
Description: partial 16S ribosomal RNA
Rfam family: Bacterial small subunit ribosomal RNA
Source: RNAcentral